This is a non-coding RNA of Desulfobacteraceae bacterium 4572_123, 100 nucleotides long. Lineage: Bacteria; Pseudomonadati; Thermodesulfobacteriota; Desulfobacteria; Desulfobacterales; Desulfobacteraceae. The record is from Rfam.
UAGGGCGACAGCAAACUGUUUGACGCCCAGGCCGGAUUCGAAAAAGGCAUCACCGGCAUUCUCCCCGCAUUGGCAGGCGCCAAUGUCAUUUAUGGAUUGG